This 487-nucleotide ribosomal RNA is filed under the name uncultured bacterium. RNAcentral's name for it is "partial 16S ribosomal RNA". It matches the Rfam family "Bacterial small subunit ribosomal RNA", at positions 27 to 507 of the family's 1533-position model. The record is from RNAcentral.
GAUUGAACGCUGGCGGCAUGCCUUACACAUGCAAGUCGAACGGCAGCACGAGUGCUUGCACCUGGUGGCGAGUGGCGAACGGGUGAGUAAUACAUCGGAACAUGUCCUGUAGUGGGGGAUAGCCCGGCGAAAGCCGGAUUAAUACCGCAUACGAUCUACGGAUGAAAGCGGGGGACCUUCGGGCCUCGCGCUAUAGGGUUGGCCGAUGGCUGAUUAGCUAGUUGGUGGGGUAAAGGCCUACCAAGGCGACGAUCAGUAGCUGGUCUGAGAGGACGACCAGCCACACUGGGACUGAGACACGGCCCAGACUCCUACGGGAGGCAGCAGUGGGGAAUUUUGGACAAUGGGCGAAAGCCUGAUCCAGCAAUGCCGCGUGUGUGAAGAAGGCCUUCGGGUUGUAAAGCACUUUUGUCCGGAAAGAAAUCCUUGGCCCUAAUACGGUCGGGGGAUGACGGUACCGGAAGAAUAAGCACCGGCUAACUACGUG